UUUAACACAGACACAAUGCAUAAAGAGUUUAUCAGCUGGAAAAAGGUGAACCCUGUGUAGUUCAGUUAACAUAUAUUAAGUCCAAGCCUGGUGAGGAAGUAGAAGAGGAAUUCACUUUAUCACAAUCCAAAAAUUCACAAGAUGGGGGAAAUCAGUCAUUGCUUGUUUAUUUCUUCAUGCCAGUUGUGGCUGGGAGACUCCUCGGUGCAACAUAACCAUUAUACCACCAAGCUGAACAGAAUUUGUAUGUCUACCAUCUCCUUCAAUAAUUUCCCUUAAGACUGGGACUACAUACAAGCUUCAUAGCUUUAAGUCAAUAUUUUUCCCUCACUUCUCUUCAUCUCUCACUGCAAAUGAAAUUGUUUGCUAUCUUGCCUAAUGAAGAUUUUGGGAGAAUUUGAAAAUUUGCAUACUUAUUUUGUAAGCAGUGAAUGGGACAAAAAUAUUGCCUUAACAUGGUUUUUCAAAUAAAAUACUUUAAAAA
Molecule: long non-coding RNA, 484 nt
Organism: Python bivittatus (Burmese python)
Lineage: Eukaryota; Metazoa; Chordata; Lepidosauria; Squamata; Pythonidae
Source: RefSeq, a predicted model, not a curated record